GAAACAAAGAGACGGAGGGCAGGACAGAAACAGGACAAAGAUGGAAAACGUUUUAUUCAGAACCGUGGUUAAAAUAAGAGCUCCCUGGUUGCACAACGAAUGAGGAGGAGAAAUCUCCAAAGCUCGUCCCUGGAGAACGGCACCAUUGGACUGGACGUUUAAGAUGGACGCCAAGGGAAAAAGCCUCUUCUGUCCUAAUCAUAAAUGUACCCAACUGUGGAGGAGUUUGCACAACCCUGCUUGGACUUUUACCUGUAAAUAUAUGUAAAUGUCCGAUCGUUUUAAAGUGUGUGUAAAAAUCUGAUGGGAUGUUCAAGUAAGCACAAAACGGGUAAUCACUGGGUCUUUCCCCGUGACAUUGGUCCGACAGACAAAGACAAAACACAACGGAAAUGUAAACAACCAGGCUCCUUCUGUCUGAGUCUAAACUUUACAGAAAACUCGAGGGGUGAGCUAAAGAAAAGAGAGCAUUAUAGACAAAGAUCACAAAUGUUAGAAAAUGUUAUCUAACCUUUCCAAAAAGGUUGGAAAUAAUGUCCCCACUUUCCAAGUUUGUCAAUAAAAGAUCUGUUUA
Molecule: long non-coding RNA, 574 nt
Organism: Gambusia affinis (western mosquitofish)
Lineage: Eukaryota; Metazoa; Chordata; Actinopteri; Cyprinodontiformes; Poeciliidae
Exons: 2
Source: RefSeq, a predicted model, not a curated record